Molecule: long non-coding RNA, 4206 nt
Organism: Passer domesticus (house sparrow)
Lineage: Eukaryota; Metazoa; Chordata; Aves; Passeriformes; Passeridae
Exons: 3
Source: RefSeq, a predicted model, not a curated record
CUUCCACCAUCUCUGGCACCGUGCUCAACGCCGCCUACAAGGGACGUCGUCGCAUAUGCAGCCCUUCCCUUGAAGAGUGGAAGAACGUCUUCGGGACGGAGGACCCUCACUGCCGCUUCUUUUCAGUCUACCGACGGUCUGAUUUUGUUGACAGAGUCAGAGCAGCAGUCGAAAGGAAGGUAGAAGACCAGCUGCUGCAGGAACAACUAAUUAGAAAUUGUCACCACCAACGCGAAUGAAGUGUGUCGGAGAAUUAUCCUAGCUCUUCCUGCAUCUCCACCUCCAACACUCGACCAACUGAUAGAGCAGUGCACCCGGAAGGCCGUGGUUGUUAUAGAAGACAUCAUUAGAGUGAAUCCGACAAAUGACCAACUGGCAGCAGCAGCCUUCGUGACACCCCAGAGACCUACCUUCCCUGUGGGAACCCCUUUACCACCUGGUCACUGAUGUUUUCACUGUGAUGUGAUGAUCAUUUCCUCAACCAAUGUCCCUUUUUAGGCAAAGCCCCUCCGGGCGGAGGGGAAAAAGAAAAGGGGGAGAGUGCCUCCUGUCCAUCGCCACAAAAAAACUAAGUAAUGAACGCGGAUCUGCCCCGCGCUGCGAUAUAAGUAGGGCAAGCCACGGGGACUUGAUUGACAGAAAACACAGCAGUCAAAUCACCACCAAUGACUGUCGUGCACCACACCGGCUAAGACUAACACACCCCAUUUUCUUCCAUUCACAGGACUGGCACAUAAUCCACCCUGAGCCUGGACUUCUCUCCUGCAUCCAACUGGCGGAGACCCAUUGGCACAUGUCAUCUUUAGACUGCAAGUACCUCAUUGUCGUGGACACCAAAAGCACUCCCCUUGAGAUUGAAGUAAUUCCCGCAAUUUUAACACUCAAGCCGGAAUACUUUACUCUCUGGGUACGCUGUGUUCACCCCCCCUCUUCCUUCCGGGAGAUCAGAUUGUUGCACAGGCAAUUCCAAUCCUUCAUUUCAUGUGCGGUGAUCUGGAUCUCUCUGUUCUUUGCACCGAAGUGUUGGGAGAGGAAAAGCCCCUCGUGUGGUGUGGCCUCAAGAGUGAGGGGCAUUCCAUACAACUUCAGGGUAUGAUGGACACAGGGGCAGAUGUGAUGGUCAUUCCCCCACACAAAUGGCCACCACAAUGGGAGUUGCAGAAUGUGCACAGCUCAGUUUUAGCUGUUGGGGGUUCUGAAUUGGCUAGACAAUCCAAGACCAUAGUUCAAAUUAUGGGGCCAAAUGGGCAAUUAGCUUCAGUACACCCAUUUGUUUUAAACUCUUAAGUUUACCCCGUGGGGGAGAGACGCCAUGUCCCAGUGGGGGGAAAAAGUAGACCUUCUUGCCCCUCAAAAUUUUUAGGUGCAGCCACUGAAGAGCGCUCUACUCUCAGACUCAAUUGACAGAUACACCAGUCUGGGUAGAGCAGUGGCCGCUGAAUAAACAAAAAUUACGAGCGCUCACUCAGAUCAUGGAGGAAGAAUUGGCCAAAGGCCACAUAGUGGAAACCAACAGCCCCUGGAGCUCCCCAGUUUUUGUCAUUAGAAAACGGGGGAAACAGGUGGCGUCUCCUUCACGACCUGAGAAAAAUAAACAAUGUUAUUGAAGACAGGGGGUUCCUCCAACCAGGCAUGCCUUCCCCAUCUAUGUUCCCCCAAAACUGGAAAAUGGCAGUAAUAGAUAUUAAAGAUUGCUUUUUUCAAAUUCCCCUUCACCCAGCUGAGGCGUCACGGUUUGUCUUCUCUGUACCUUCCAUCAACAGAGGAGCUCCCAUGGAGCGCUACCACUGGCGUGUUCUCCCACAAGGGAUGAAGAACAGCCCUACCAUCUGCCAGUGGUAUGUCGUGAAUGUUCUGUCCCCAGUGCGUGCAAGGGAGAGUGAUGGCAUUAUCUACCAUUAUAUGGACGAUGUCCUCAUGUGUGCCCCCGACAGCAACAUACUUGCGUGUGCCUUAGAGGACACUAUUACAACCUUAUCGGUGGCAGGAUUUGAGUUACAAAAAGAGAAGGUGCAACACCUACCGCCUUGGAAGUAUCUGGGCCUUGAAAUUAACAACUGAACCAUUUCGCCCCAGAGUCUUAAUAAAUGACAACCCCAAGACCCUAAGAGAUCUACAUCAAUUGUGUGGGUCUUUAAACAGGAUCAGGCCCUGGCUGGGGCUCACCAUGGGAGAUCUGUCCCCUCUCUUCAAUUUGUUAAAAGGGGGAGAGGGGCUGGACUCCCCGAGGGUCCUGACCCAGGAGGCCAGGACAGCGCUCGAGAAGGUUCAGUCCACCAUCAUGACGCAGCAGCCCCAUCGAUGCCGAGAAAACCUCCGUUUCCAAUUCAUCAUUCUGGGUAAGUUGCCACGCCUCCACGGGCUGAUAUUCCAGUGGGACACUGACCAACAGGAUCCCCUCUCAAUAAUAGAGUGGGUAUUCCUUGGUCACCAACUGUCCAAAAGUAUCACCAGGCCAGAGGAGUUGAUGGCCCAGUUGAUCAUGCGAGCUAGAGCACACCUGCGUCUGCUAGCGGGGCGCGAUUUCACAUGCAUUCACCUCCCCAUUAAAACAUCUACAGGGAAGAUGACCAAAGAGACCAUAGAACACUUACUUAGAGAAAAUGAGAGCCUGCAAUUUGCUUUAGACAGCUACACGGGACAAAUUCUUGUCAACCAUCCUGGCCACAGAUUAUUCAGUACUGAAUUUAAUUUGAUUCCAAAAGACAUUCAAAGUCGCCACCCCCUCAAAGCGCUGACAGUUUUUACUGACGCAUCUGGAGAUCUCACAAGUUGGUAGUGACUUGGAAGGAUCCUCAAACUCAGCAGUGGGAAGCCAAUGUAAAGACUGUGGAGGGCUCUCCACAGAUUGCUGAGUUAGAUGCAGUCGUCAGGGCGUUUGAGAAAUUUUUGGAACACUUUAAUUUAAUUACCGAUUUGGCCUAUGUCGUGGGUGUAGUGUCCCGAGCAGAGCAUGCAGUGCCCAAAGAAGUCUCUAACCCCACUCUAUUUGGCUUGCUCUCGCGACUAACAUACCCAGUUUCCCACCGAGAGCAACCCUUCUUUGUGAUGCAUGUGAGGUCGCACACCGACCUUCCGGGACUCAUUGCGGAGGGGAAUAGCAGGGCAGAUGCCCUAGCCGUGCCUCUACAACUGGCUGGCCAACCCAACAUCUUUCAGCAGGCCAAACUGAGCCACCACCAGUUUCAUCAAAAUGCCCCGGGGCUGGUCCGCCAGUUCCAUCUGCGGCGUGACCAAGCCAGGGCAAUUGUGGCCACAUGCCCUACCUGCCAGGAGUCUGCCCUACCAUCACUCACUUCUGGGGUAAACCCCAGGGGACUCGCAGUUGUGAGGUGUGGCAAAUGGAUGUCACCCACGUGCCCAAAUUUGGGAGGUUCAAGUAUGUUCACGUUUCCGUAGACAUCUUCUCAGGAGCUGUCUUCGCUUCGGCCCACACAGGAGAGAAGCAGCAGAUGCCCCAAACCAUUUGAUCCAUGCUUUGCUGCCCUAGGGAUUCCAUCUGUAAUUAAAACUGACAACGGCCCGGCCUAUACUUCUAAGGCAUUUGGUGAAUUUUUACAAAAUUGGGGGAUACAACAUCGGACAGGGAUACCACACUCCCCCACUGGUCAGGCUGUAAUAGAAAGGACGCAGCAGACAUUAAAGCGAGUCCUCGCCUGCCAGCGGGGGGAUAUCCAGGUUCAGACCCCACAUCUCUGGCUCUGCAAAGCUCUUUUUACCAUCAGUUUUCUCAAUUGUUCCUUUGACAGGCUGGAGCUGCCAGUCCUACGGCAUUUCCAACAACACUCGUGACUUGAGGCCAAGGAAAAGCCAGAGGUUCUCAUCAGGGAUCCGGACUCUGGAGAGAUUCAGGGUCCGGUCCAUCUCAUCACCUGGGGGCGUGGAUAUACUUGCGUGUCCACUCCCUCAGGGGUCAGAUGGAUCCCAAGAAAAUGGGUAAAACCGUAUAUAUCACCACCUAAGACUGGCACACCACAACUCACAGUCCCCAGCAGCCAAGAAAAUCCACAGGAUGGCACAUUCGCUCAGAACUGGAGGUGCCGCAGAUAAAGAGGAGACCCAAUGUCACCCUCCUGAAUUGUGUUCCCUUCAGAGAUUCUAAAUUAUUCCCUAUACUUAUACAGUGUUCUGUUUUCCUUUACUUUAGGCAUCCAUCAUGAUUGUUGUCAUCCUCCUUGUCAUCUGGCAGCUCCGUCUUAAGGCCUU